Molecule: ribosomal RNA, 253 nt
Filed under: uncultured bacterium
Lineage: Bacteria
Description: partial 16S ribosomal RNA
Rfam family: Bacterial small subunit ribosomal RNA
Source: RNAcentral
UACGUAGGAGGCAAGCGUUGUCCGGAAUUACUGGGCGUAAAGCGUGCGCAGGCGGUGAUGUAAGACAGUUGUGAAAUCCCCGGGCUCAACCUGGGAACUGCAUCUGUGACUGCAUCGCUGGAGUGCGGCAGAGGGGGAUGGAAUUCCGCGUGUAGCAGUGAAAUGCGUAGAUAUGCGGAGGAACACCGAUGGCGAAGGCAAUCCCCUGGGCCUGCACUGACGCUCAUGCACGAAAGCGUGGGGAGCAAACAGG